UAUAAAAAUUUAGAAAUAAAUUAUAUAAUUUUUGUGCAGUCGAUUUGAAUAGGAUAGAUGAUUCUUGUCAAUCAGGAAGCUUCUAAUAUUUAACGGAAGGUGCUGGCUUGGAAGGUGCAAUAGGUUAUGAAUACUUCGCAUUCAUAUAAAUGGAAAUGAGUGGUUUCGUAUUACGUUCGAUGUUCCGAAUUGUUGUCAAACUUCGAGCAUAUGGUCUCCUUAAUCCAAUUCGAUAAACGAAAUCGUAGCACGAGCUGCCAUUUUGUUGUCGAAUGUCGUGCUGUUUGGUGGCUUCAUUUUGCUUUCAGUUCUCGCUUCUUAAUUCAUAAUGGUUGUGCAAUAACUUUUCAUGGGAUAUUAAUAGCAGCAUCAUUAGCAGAUUUUUCACAUCUAAUGGUGAGUCACA
This is a long non-coding RNA of Apis mellifera (honey bee), 406 nucleotides long. RefSeq lists it as uncharacterized. The record is from RefSeq and is a predicted model, not a curated record. The transcript is spliced from 4 exons. Lineage: Eukaryota; Metazoa; Arthropoda; Insecta; Hymenoptera; Apidae.